CCUUAGAACUUUAUAUGCACUGAGGUUUUCUUUGGGGGUAGAAAAUUGGGUUUUAAAAGGUUCAUCAUUUUGGUAAAAUUGUGUAUUGUAUGUGUGCUCCUUCACAUCAACAAAUAUGAAAUGGAUAGACCAGCUGAUGCAUAACUUAGUUGUCAUCUAUAUUGUCAAGUUUAACUCAUAUAUUCUCGCUCUGCAUAAUAUCAAGUUUGACGACGAUGAUGAUUGGAACCAAGAGGAGGAAGUACGUAAGUUUCCAUCUAUUCAUAUGGAUGUUACCCUCGAUGUACUGUGACCAAAUAUGUAAUGCCUGGUUUGGUUUAACUAUUCUCUUGUGUAUCACUAGGUAAUCAGUUAACAAGUGUUGGCCAUGGUGCAUUGAUCUUAUUUAGUUGUGGUUUUGUAUGCCUCCCCCAGUUGCCGCUAAAACCCACCAAAAAAAUAGCAAGAAAAUUGAUGGUGGGAGCUAGCAAUGCCAGCAGUGCCUCCUUUAGGAUUACAAAAUCGUUAAUCCUAUCUUCGCUUGCAUGUGACUGAUGGUGAUGCUACACAAGUUCUGAAGGCAGUGCCCUCCCCUUCAGCAGGAGAUCUUGCUGGUUCUGCAUGGCACAACUGGAUUAAAUAUGCUACAGCAAGCGAAGGAGUUCAACGAUGUUGUUGGAAUCAAAGGAUUCAUCCUAACGAAAUUAGACGGGACUGCUCGUGUUGGCUGUGUGUUACGGGCGAUUUCCAGUCCUUUAUUGUAACAGAUACAAAUUCCAGUCCUGGAUCUUAAAUAUACGACAACUAAACUUGCUGACCUGAAUCCUGUCUCAGAAACAGAAGCAAGUACGGCCACAACCUCCAAUACUACUACGACUGAUGGCUAUCCUCUACCCGAGGAGAAAAACUGCAUUCAGAGGGUUACGGAAUGGCAAUGGGUGGGUUACCUCCCAGGAGCAGAUGACUGGCAUGGUUAGUGAUCACUAGGCCAUGAAUCUCAUGGAUCGCAUGAUACAGUAUUUUUAUGGUGCAGGUAUCUGGUCCAGAUCUGACGGAGACAAGAAAAAUCGUGCCGCUGCUUCUUCUUUCGAUUGAAAAUCCAGGUGAAAACUUUCAGGAACUCAGGACGACACGCAUUGAUUAUAUUUCAUUGUGAUGGCCGUUGCCGCCACAGCUACUAUGGGUACAAGCAACUUCUAUUUCGCUCGUCACCGGAAACCACUGCCCAGAUCCAUCUCUUCUCAACCAUGCUGACGUGGUGGUCAGGGGCGCUUACAACUUGUGAGGGCCUGCGUUCUUGCUGUUGAUCCGUGAUGGCAUGGCCUCCCCGCGCCCUAGCCGCAUUCUAGCUGAUGGUUUGGGUCUGCCAGCGGAGGGAGAGGGGGACGACCUCUGUCGCUCCUUCUCUCUAGCCUCUUCAUCUUGAUGAAGCCGUAGGAGUAGAGGGGCACGCGCGUGAUGGAUCUGCUCCAAGCACCUCAAGCCACGCAUCUUCAAGGUGAUCACUUCAUCCACAUUCAAUCUCAGUUCCCGCGUUUACUCCGAGGAGAGUUCAAAAGCAGCAGGAGCAGUUGUUCUACUGCUGGUCGGAGGGAGAGCUUGGCAAGGGAGAUAGAGGGAGCUCUACAACCACGAUCUUGGCAUACGACCCGAUGGCAUCAUGCCCACAUAAGCUUCUUCCAUGUUCCAAUUCUUGCACUUGAUGGUCUUUUACUGUUAGAGCUUACGAAAUCUUAGAUGUUACUGACAAAAGACCGAGAUACACUAUUUCGGACUAUAUAUUAUUCAGCAAGUACGUUCGCAAAAAAUUUUGGUCUCAGCAGGUUGGUGUUCAUGUACAGGUUGCCAUAUGAGAAUAUACUGCGUAUUUGUCAAAUCUCAGAACAAAUGGCCCAUUCCGAUCAUAACUAUUCCAAAAGCAUUGAUAGGCUUUUUUAAACAUUAAGAUAUCUGAAUAUUGAUCUCAGCAGUGUCCAAAAUCCAAAUGGUUAUGUUUGUUCAGAUUUUCCUCAUUUUUAUGUUCUUUGAAUUGAAGUAGUGCUUGAGGUUAAUAAUAAAUUAUUGUUGGUAACUUAACUAGCUCCUGAGAAUAAUUUGUGAUAUAGCUUGCUCCUAUAUUUGCCAUUGACAACGUUGCUUGUGGAGAGUAAUAAGGAUUUAUCUAGCUCAUGUAUGUCUGAGCCUGAGACGGAGAGGACAACGGUUGUGGCUCCAUUGAUGAUAGUGGUUGCGAUGCAGAGCCGUAUGAAUGGACAGCAGGGAAGCCAAGCACUCCCUGGAAAUCGCCGUGAUUCCGGAAUGGGUGGCGGGUCCCUGCCCCUAUCACCCAUGAAGCUGACAACGAUCACCUGGCCUCGUGCGGCGGCUGCGGAGGAGAGGGAGGCAGGAGGGGGAGACUUGUAAGCGAUAACCCGCACGGAGGAGGAAGGAGACGCCUCAGGUGGAGAUGAUGACGAUGGACGUGUCUCCAUCGCUGGCAGCGGUCAUGACGUGCAGCUGCAGGACUAGACAUCAGACAGGCGGAGUCGUUUCUGGGAGUUGCUUGCUUUGGUGGUGCUCUUGGGUUUACGAUUUCAAUAUAAUCCUAUGGCGGAGUGGAUGCUUGUGUGUUUCAUUGAUGGAGGAGGUAUAAAUCUGUUCCUUAAAGCGAGCAAAUCAAAACAAAAAUGCAGGAGGUAUCCGACAACACUGACGAUACGCCAUUCCACUUAGACCUGAGGGCAACAUCAAAGGAUGCCACCGGCAGCAGAGAUCAACAAGUUCUUCACCGUCGGGGAGAAGGUACAAAAUUGGACAUCAUGUGAGGUGUUAUGCUCAACCCCAGCUAGUUCAAAGGCAACACUGGUGGUGGUCCUCUGAGUAUGCAAAUGACAUAGAGUGGGCACUGCAAUAAUACAUGCUAAUAGGCGCAGUUUCAUCUCGAGCAGACGAGCACUGCAAUAGUACAUGCUACUCUCAGCGACUACUAACGUGAAGUUGCACUCAGGCUCUCGCAUAUACUAAAGAGUAGUGUCAUCAAUGGAACAAAUAAAGUCUUGAUAACUAGAAGGCCAUUCCGAUUCCAGUAUGGUAAAUAUUCGAUGGAUGACAAAGGGUCCCGAGGGAGCUCGUUUGUGCUGACAACACUCAGCAUAUUCUGCAAAUAUCCUCUGAGUUCACCAUCCAUGAGCUGCAAGUCAUGUUUUCUGGUGCUACAAGUAUAAAAAGGUUCAUGCUUUGUGGUAUUAACCUUUUGUGCUGUUGUUCCAAUACCUUUUGGAGUUUUGGCCUAAAAGGGCUCUCUGAAACACGGAGACAAACAAAGCUACAAUUUGGAGUAUGAUUAAGCAGUCCAGUCAGCGUUACUAAUCCCCACUUGAGCUUGACUGUAUUUCCUGGCUUAAUGUUUGAGAUUCUAUGUAUAGCAAAA
Molecule: non-coding RNA, 3388 nt
Organism: Triticum urartu
Lineage: Eukaryota; Viridiplantae; Streptophyta; Magnoliopsida; Poales; Poaceae
Source: RefSeq, a predicted model, not a curated record